Molecule: long non-coding RNA, 353 nt
Filed under: Apteryx owenii (little spotted kiwi)
Lineage: Eukaryota; Metazoa; Chordata; Aves; Apterygiformes; Apterygidae
Description: lncRNA (ENSAOWG00000006860.1)
Source: RNAcentral
AAAAAAUACCGCACUGUAGUUGUUUUUGAGGUUUGGCGAGAGAACAGCAAGUUGCAAUUUCACGUUAUUGCCCCCAGUUUGUCCGCACGAGUGGCCCACCGCUUUACAGGCAGCGGUUCCUGCUGGAGGGCAGCUUUAAUAGUCGCACGGCUUUUUUACAAAAGGCAGAGGUGGAUGGAUCCCCCGGCUCUCGCCCGCCCGACCGUGUGCCGGUGGCACAGCUUUCCAGGGCACCUACUCCAGCCCCCGUCGCUCGUGUAGUUAGACGAGGCUGCCAUGGUAACAGACGGUAUUUCUCGUCCCUUCAGGCAACAAGUACUAUUGGCUUAAAUUGGAUUUUUGCCUGAUUAAGG